UACGUAGGGUGCGAGCGUUAAUCGGAAUUACUGGGCGUAAAGCGUGCGCAGGCGGUUCGUUGUGUCGGCGGUGAAAGCCCCGGGCUUAACCUGGGAAUGGCCGUUGAAACUGUCGAACUGGAGUGUGGCAGAGGGGGGUGGAAUUCCGCGUGUAGCAGUGAAAUGCGUAGAGAUGCGGAGGAACACCGAUGGCGAAGGCAGCCCCCUGGGCUAACACUGACGCUCAGGCACGAAAGCGUGGGGAGCAAACAGG
RNAcentral lists this ribosomal RNA (253 nucleotides) under uncultured bacterium. RNAcentral's name for it is "partial 16S ribosomal RNA". It matches the Rfam family "Bacterial small subunit ribosomal RNA", at positions 524 to 776 of the family's 1533-position model. The record is from RNAcentral.